This 105-nucleotide small RNA is filed under the name Treponema denticola ATCC 35405. RNAcentral describes it as "TD-2 RNA". It matches the Rfam family "TD-2 RNA". Rfam says of the family: non coding RNA found in Treponema denticola Lineage: Bacteria; Pseudomonadati; Spirochaetota; Spirochaetia; Treponematales; Treponemataceae. The record is from Rfam by way of RNAcentral.
GUUUUGCUUUUGCAAAACUACAUACAAUAAUGCGAUGUUUUGUGCUUUGCACAAAACUCGAAGAUAAACAGUGAGGUAGUAUUUCUACCGAGCUGUUUAUCAUAA